Small nucleolar RNA from Apodemus sylvaticus (European woodmouse), 130 nucleotides. RefSeq annotates it as small nucleolar RNA SNORA17. The record is from RefSeq and is a predicted model, not a curated record. Lineage: Eukaryota; Metazoa; Chordata; Mammalia; Rodentia; Muridae. The transcript has a single exon.
UCCAAGAGGCAUAGUGCAUGUAUUUUCUCUGUCACAGGAGUGUCACUAGGAUUCAAUGAAGAGGGACUAUGUCUCUGCUCAGCUCACAGUCCUGACAUAUGAACAUCUGAAUGAUUAGUAGUCUAACAUU